UUGCUGAAGCAGCAAGCGGUGAGAUUUUGCUGUGCUUUCGGUGCUUUUUAAAAAUUUUAAUCCAUUUUCAUUUCUCUCUGUCUUACUUCCACCCCCAAGGAGAUUUUAUUCAGGAGCUGAAACUCGGGAUGAUGCAGAGUCAGAGAGAAGCAAAUCAUUCUGCAGUGAGGAAUCGUCAGACAGGAGCUGGGACCAGAGAGAGAGAGACCGAGAGAAUUAUAAUCAACCAUCUCGUGUCCUUGUCGUUCAAUUCCACACUCACAUGCUCAUGGGGGAAUGAAUUAUGGGGCUCAGGCAGUCUCUGGAGUUUGGACCACAAGGGCGUGAGACCUGGGCUGGCGCUUGGGGGAGACAAAGGGACAAAAAUGGGGCUGCUGCACAGUCUGAUCCCACAGAUUUUACUGCCUUCCUCUGCCUUCAUACUCCCAGCUUCUUGUCUCUCUCACAGCUUUCUAUAAAUCCCCAUCUCCCCUCCAUCCUUCAAAUCUCCCCCUAUCUACUGUACACAGGCUGUUAAAAGCAGAACAGAGUGGGGAUGAAUUCACAGGUUGAUGCUAGGGUAAUAGAAUGGGGAUGGGUUCAGAGGGCAGUGCUAGGGUAACAGAAUGAAGAUGGGUUCACAGGCCAAGGCAAGGAAAACAGAGUGGGAAUGCAUCACUAGAUCAUUGCUAAAGCAACAGUGUGGGGCGGUGUUCAAAGGCCAUAGCUGGUAGAACAGAGGCGGGGUGCGAGGAGAACAGAGGAUGCAUUCACAGGCUGCUGCACAGGGACAUACUAAGGAAGGGUUCUCUGGCCUAUGCUAGCACAACAGAAUGGGGAUGGGCUCACCGGCCAUUCCUAGGUAUAAUAGUGUGGGAAUGAGUUAACAGGCCAUUUUCUAUGAGAACAGUUUCAGCAUACGUUCACACAUCGCUGUUAGGAGAACAGAGUGUGGGAUGGGUUUAUAGUCUAUGGCUAGAGUAACAUUGUUAGGAUGGGUUCAUAGGCCAUUGCAAGGAGAACACAGUGGGAGUGGGUUAACAGAUCAUUGCGAGGGGAACAAGAUUAAGAUGGGCUCACAGGCCAUUGCUAGAGGAACAGAAUGGGGAUGGGAUCAUAGACUAUUGCUAUAAAACUAAAUUGGGAUUGGGUUCCCAAGUCACUGCUAGGAGAACAGUGUGGAGAUGGUUGAACAGUCUGGUGCUAAGGCAAAAGCGUGAGGAUUGGUUCACAGGCUGGUGCAAGUGAUACAGUAUUGAUGGUUUCACAGACUGUUUCUAGCAGAGCAGAUUGGGAAUGGGGUCACAGGCAGUUGUCAGUGCAGCAGAGUGGAGGUGGUUUCACAGGCCGUUGCUAGGGGAAGAGAGUAGGGAUUGGCUGACAGGCUGUUACUAAGAGAACAGAGGCAGGAUCAGUUCACACGUUGUUGCUACGAGAACAUUUUGUGGAUGUUCAACAGGUUGUUGCUUGGGGUACAUUGGAGAUGUGGUCACAGUCUUUUGCAAUGAAAUUGGGGAUGGGUAUGAGCCUGUUUCAAGGGGAUCAGAGUGGGGAUGGAUUCAUAGGCCUUUCCAAGGGCAACCGUCUAAGGAUCUGCUCAUAGGCCUUGACUCGGGCAAGACAGUGGCAAUGGGCUCACAGAUUGUUGCUGGGGGAACAGAUUGGGAAUGUUUCACAUGCUGUAGCUACAAGAAAAGACUGGUCGUGUGUUAAUAAGUUGUUGCAAGAAGAAGGGAAUGCAGACGUGUUCACAGGUCAUUGGUAGAACAGUGGAGAUGUGUUGACAGGCCAUUGCUAGCUUAACAGAAUGGUGAUGGGCUUACAGGCUUUUGCUCUUGGAGAAGAGUGCGGAUGGUACACAGGGAGAGAAAAAGUGUAGAACCGACACAGAGAGAGAUCAACAGACAGACCGAGAGGGAAACAGAGGGAUGCACAGAUUGAUUUGUUGUCACAUGUACUGAAAUACAGUAAAAUGUUUUGUUUAUGAGUGGUCCAGAUCAGAUCGGAGCCAGGCAGAGUCAGCAUGGUUUACAAAAAGGAAGUCACGCUUGAGGAAAACGUUCAAUUAAAAAAAACACUAGCCCAAUCACUGUAACUCCUGGGAAACUCGGGCUGCAAAUCACAGCACUCGGUCCCCACUGAAAUCAACUGAUUCACAACACCCCGAUUUUGCAUCUCUUUUUGCUUCUGGCCCUGUCUCACCUUCACCUCCCUCAGCCCAGCCAGAUCCAAUGUCAAUUAGUGUUCAAUGCCAAUGCAGGCCAAUGGCAAAUCCAAUGUUUACCUGGAAAGCGAGCUGGAGGAACAUAAGACACAAGGUGUUACAAUGUGAUGGGGUUGUCGAUGACAGGUUAGAGAGGCACAAGGAUCUCAUCUUUAUGCUCCCAUGUACUAGUUAGAUGAAUAUGCUCAGUGCACAUUACCCCUUCUACAUUCAUCAGUCUUGUGCUUGUGUUUAAGUUUUGAAAAUGGCUUUGAAUGUGAGACAAGUGGAGCUGUAACAAUCCCGUGGUAUUCAGCAGCAAAAAAAACCAAUCAGGCUUUUCCAAAAUGGGUAUCUUCUGAGAUCGUGAGCCACAUGGAAGAAUGAGAACUGUCUCACUGGGGCUCGCCAUGUCUACUUUCAAAGUCUGCUCGAAGUGAUCAGAAACUUUGCUGAAUUUGCACAUUAGGAUUGCAGCACGAGCAAGUGGCCAAUUUCUGGUUGGGUGGAUGGAGAAGCCUGAUUCAUUCAUAUGAAAACCUAGGAUAGAAACUUAUGGCCCUGAGGAGACGCUAUCCUCAAAUUGAGUGACUGCUGGCCACGCUGAGGGAUAUUGUACAGCAGGGAGAAUAGUCAGUCAUCCUGAGCUAUGAAGAGGGGAUGUUGUGAACAUCUGUACUGGACUGAUGGAUGGAUUUUUGAAACUCCUUUUAUCAGAGCUCAGAGUGGCUGGUACACACAGCAAAACCCAAAUCAAUUGAAAUGAUUAUCUCUUCUGAAUGGCUCGCUCUGGCUGAUGGAGAUUGAUUUUACAAACUAACUCAUAGAAUUUCCACGGAGUAACCUCAGUUACAUCACCCGAUUCCAAGGGAUUUCCUUAAUUUUGAAACUAUUCUCUGACAUGGAACUUUUGAAAUCUUUCCAGCUACAGGUUCCAGCAGAUUGUAAUAUUGUAAUCAAUAAGACUGUUUCAGGGCUAAAUAUUUUUUAAUGAGUCAUUAAUAAUUUAAGGAUUUUAUUGUUGUCCUGUGUUAUUUGGGAGAGGUUCAAUGUCUCUGCAUCUGGAGUGACACCUUUGCUGUGGGAUCUGAAUCCAUGUUCAUCUAUUGCUCUCUUUCACUGAUGUUUGAUGACUAGCAUCGGAAUGGUGGGCAGACGGCACACUCUGUGCUGUAAAUCUGUAUAACUCUGUCCAUCUGUAUGGUUUUAUGACCCUUGCUUUCCUUGAUCACCUCUCUGCCAUUGUCGAACUUCCACUGCCUCCAAUCCUGCAUGUAUUUUAGAUUCUGUUUCAGGCUAUACAUUUACUGUGUCUUCUCCCACUGCCCAUCCCCUCACUAUGUGCGACUGGCUUACCAGCAUGAUGUUCCCACAUUAUCUUUCACAGGAAUUGUUUCUUAAGUGCAACAGUUCACCUGUUUUCCACUUCGGAGACAAUAUUAACAAUCACAUUCUGCAGCAUUCCUCACCUCCACCUAAAGGUUGGGAGAUUUUGGCAAACAGCAUUUUCUUUUGUCUCUUCACAAUAGAUAACGCAUUAGCCACAGCCAACCAGUUUGUGCUUACAGUGCUCAAAUAUUAAUAGUGCCCAAUUAAUAUUAAUAACACCUCCUUCAACUCAACCAGACAGGGGCCAGCCCUUCUUUAGUUGAGGUCUCCAGUGAUGCUUUGAAAAAUCAGAGUCAAUCUGUCUGCGUGAAAUUUAAACAAAGUUUGGUCAUCAUCUAACUGGUGCAUUUUCCUUUGCAAUGCCUUGACCAAUCAGAGUCUAUUAUUCGCCCAGGUCAGUACAGUAUAAAACGUUUGCUCCCUUUCCAUUGGUGCUUAUUGUGAAUGAACCGAAGUGUGCAAGACAAAAAGCUUUGAUGAAACUUGCCUUUUUUGCAUACAGUUGGACAUUAUUGAACUGUUGUACAUUGUUGUGGCUCGGCCUCUCUCACAAUGCCACCACACAAGGCCUUAUAGAUGAUUAUGGAGGAACAAUGUGUAUUGUGGUUGAUUAAUUAUUUCAAUAAAUAAAGAGAGGACAGAACUGUGAGCAUCGGCCCCUUAUAAAAUGAGCUUUGUAAAGGGUAACAUUGAGGAGCUAGGAAAGGGCAGGAGAGUUAAACAAAUACUUUUCAACAAUAUUCACAUUAGGGCAUUCUUGCAACUUUAAAAUACACAAAUAUAGUCAAGCAGCAAAAAGGGGAGGAAAUAACCAUAACAGGAGAAAACAUACUGUGGUCAAUGAAGUAUUUCAAAAGAUAAAAAGAGAAGAGAGCUGUGAACAUCGGCCCCUUAGAGAAUGAGAUUUGUCAGUGAUAAUGAGGAGCCAGGAAAGAGCAGGGGAGUUAAACAAAUAAUUUUAAUCAAUCUUCACAGUAGGGAACACUUACAACAUUACAAAAAAAUUAAGUAGUUCAGCAGCACAAAAGGGGAGGAAAGAACCAUAAUAUUGAUCAGAAGAGAAAAAGUAUUUGUGAAAAUAAUAACCAUUGACAAAGAAAAUAGUGGUCGGCCGUUUGGUCAUUCAAACCUGCUCCAACAUUUAACACGAUCAUGGCUGAUCAUCCAUCUGUUCCUGCUUUCUCUCCAUACUCUGAUCCCUUUCACCCCAAGGAUUAUAUCCAAAUCCUUCUUAAAUACAUUCAAUGUUUUGGCUUCAGGUGCUUUCUGUGGCAGAUAAUUCCAGAGGUGAGGAAAUUUCUUCUUAUCUCAGUCCUAAAUAGCUUGUCGAUGACAGGUUAAAGAGACACUAGGAUCCCAUCUUUAUGCUCCCAUGUAUGCCCAUAUCCUAAAAGUCAUGGUUCUGGACACCCUGUUUAUUGAGAACAGCCUUCCUCUGUUUAUCCUGUGUAGCCCUGUCAGAAUUCUUUUGUUUCUAUGAAAGACCACUCUUCUGAACUCGAGUGAAUAUAGUCCUAACUGAUCCAGUCUUUCUUCACAUGUCAGUCCUGUCAUCCCAGGAAUCAUUCUGGUCAACCUUCAUUGUACUCCCUUCACAGCCAAAGCAUUCUUCCACAAGAAUAAUGAGACCAAAAUUGCACACAAGAAUCCAGCUAUGGGCUCACUGAGACCUGUGGAAUCACAGAAGGACGUUCCUGCUCCUGAAUCUGAAUCCUCUCGUUAAGAAGGCCAAAAGAAACUAACUUGUGCUUGGGACAUUUGAAAACAAAGUGUAAGUUUUGUGUUAAAUACAAAGCUAAUUUAUUUGCCUUUUACUCAGAAAAUAAAAACCUAUAUUUUCAGGAAAGUCAAUUUAACAUCAGUAGAAACAGACAACAAUGAAAUGUGUUCAUUACCGAACAUAAUUAAUAGCAAAAUGCAACCACUGUGGUUAUUUGUGAAUUCACUCAUGUUUUUUUUGGGGGGGGGGCAGCAGGGGGGGUUGUCGGGUGUUUGAGUGAAUCCCUUCCCACAUUCAAUGCAGGCGAACGACCUCCCUCCAGUCUGAACAUCACUGGCAUACAAUGAGGUGAAAUGAUCACCUGAACCCAGUUUGAAAGUGAAAGCACUGGAACGGUCUCUCACCUGUGUCAACACAUUGAUGGAUCAUCAAUUGUUGAGGACUUUUAAAGCAUUUUCUGCAAUCUGAACAUUCAAAGUUAUUUCAAUAAUGUGAGCAAGUUCAUGGAGGCUAAUUGUUCAGAAUCUUUAUACCAUUUCCCACAUUCUCUGGUCAGAAUGAACUUGCUCGUGUUUCAGCAGGUACAAUGAUCUGACGAAUCUCUUCCUGCACAUGAAGCAAGUGAACGGUAUCUCCCCUGUGUGGAUGCAUUGGUGUACAGCGAGGUUACAUAUUCAUCUGUACCCAGUCCCAUCAUGAGAGUAUCUUAUUGGGCUCUCAACAGUGUGAACAUGUUGAUGGGACAUCAGUUCUCCAGAACAUUUACAGCAUUUCCUGCAGUCUGAACAUUGAAAAAGGUCUCUCAUUAGAAUGAACUUUCUGGUGUUUCACCAGGUCAGAUGAGUGAAUGAAACACUUCCUACAUAUGGAAUAGAUGAACGGUCUCUCCCCAGUGUGAAUGUGCUGGUGUAUUGGGAGUUUAGAUGAUCGCUUGAACCGAGUCGCACAGUGAGAGCACCUGAAUGGUUUCUCACUAAUG
Molecule: long non-coding RNA, 6270 nt
Organism: Stegostoma tigrinum
Lineage: Eukaryota; Metazoa; Chordata; Chondrichthyes; Orectolobiformes; Stegostomatidae
Exons: 2
Source: RefSeq, a predicted model, not a curated record